UGAUUGUGAUGUCGCGGGGUUGUAGCCAGCACCACCCGAAGCAAAAGAGACGCCUGUAAGAAGAUCGUUUGGUUGUAUUUUCGGAUCGAAAUAUGCCGGUACGAUUUCUUUAACUCCAAGAUAUUUGGCUAUUGGUUGCAAGGAAACCAAAAAAAAAAAAAAAUCGAAUUUGUAAUUAAUUGGUUUCCAUAUUUUUCAUUAUGUUUUGAAAGAAAAGGAUGGAGAGAGGGAGAGAGUAGGAACCUAGAUAGUCGGAAGCAACCCUUCCAUUGCUGAAUCUACCAGUAGCGACUCCCAUUUUAAAAUCCAUACCAUAGGGACGAUAGUUGCUUUUCAUCUUUGUGCUUCGGUUAUUGUUAUUUCCGGUGUCGAAGACCGAAUCCCCAAAGAAAAACACGGCCGGUAUGGUUUUGUUCUCUGGCUUUGGUGGGGGUGGAGCAGGUUUUGGCGUUGGGGCUGGCGGUGGUGUUGGGAUUGGUUUCGGAGCUGGGGCAGGUGGUGGCUUAUUCUUUGGAGCUGGUGGCGCUGGCUUUGGUUGAGGUUUAGGCGGUGUUGGUGGGCAUGCUGGUGGUGGCGCUGGCUUUGGUUGAGGUUUAGGUGCUGGUGGUGGGCAUGCAGAUGGGCUAGGUGCUGGUGCUGGUGGUGGGCAUGCAGAUGGGCUAGGUGCUGGUGGUGGCUUGGGUUGAGGCUUCGGUGGUGUUGGUGGGCAUGGAGAUGGUCCUGGUGGUGGGACAGGUUUUGGUGAUGGACCAGGUGGUGGGGAAGGCUUUGGUGCUGGUGGUGCCAUUGGCCACGGCUGCGGAUAAGGCCUUGGCCAAUAUGGCCAAGGCCAGAGCCGUCUGUGCAUGACUUG
Molecule: long non-coding RNA, 853 nt
Filed under: Capsella grandiflora
Lineage: Eukaryota; Viridiplantae; Streptophyta; Magnoliopsida; Brassicales; Brassicaceae
Description: long non-coding RNA (CGRA_LNC001589)
Source: RNAcentral